UACGGAAGGCAGCAGUGGGGAAUAUUGCACAAUGGGCGAAAGCCUGAUGCAGCUAUGCCGCGUGUAUGAAGAAGGCCUUAGGGUUGUAAAGUACUUUCAUCGGGGAGGAAAAACAAAACUAAUAAUUUUAUUUCUUGACGUUACCCGAAAAAGAAGCACCGGCUAACUCCGUGCCAGCAGCCGCGGUAAUACGGGGGUGCUAGCGUUAAUCAGAAUUACUGGGCGUAAAGAGCACGUAGGUGGUUUUUUUAAGUCAGAUGUGAAAUCCCUGGGCUUAACCUAGGAACUGCGUUUUGAAACUGAAAUACUAGAGUAUCGUAGAGGGAGGUAGAAUUCUAGGUGUAGCGGUGAAAUGCGUAGAUAUCUGGAGGAAUACCUGUGGCGAAAGCGGCCUCCUAAACGAAUACUGACACUGAGGUGCGAAAGCGUGGGGAGCAAACAGGGAUUAGAUACC
This 454-nucleotide ribosomal RNA is filed under the name uncultured bacterium. RNAcentral describes it as "bacterial SSU rRNA". It matches the Rfam family "Bacterial small subunit ribosomal RNA", at positions 340 to 786 of the family's 1533-position model. The record is from RNAcentral.